This is a long non-coding RNA of Scatophagus argus, 449 nucleotides long. RefSeq lists it as uncharacterized. The record is from RefSeq and is a predicted model, not a curated record. NCBI's taxonomy places the organism in Eukaryota, Metazoa, Chordata, Actinopteri, Scatophagidae. The transcript is spliced from 3 exons.
CAGUAGUCAUAAGCUGCAAGAAAGAAACAGAAGAGCGGUUAUCCACAUCUGCAACUCAGCCUGAGUUCACAAGGAAGAGGAGCAUGCGAUCCACUUCAUAGAGAGAAGGUGUCAUGCAGACAUGCAUGAUGAUCACACCAGGGUGGUCUUACUUUCUAUUGUGAGGAUGCAGACCUUUCCUGAUCCAGUCCAGGGCUCUUAAAGAAAUAAUUUGGACAACAGCAAUGCAGGUUUCCCUGUUCUUUGACAAGGUAAAGAUGAGCAGCUCAGCAGCAGCAAGUUAAGUCAAAACCUAAGCAUUAAUAGCUAUCAUUUUAUGACAGGUUAAUGACUAGCAAAAUACAUGCAGUGUACAAUUUUCAUCAGUGUAGCAUGGAAACUUACCAUGCUCUUGCGGGCCUCAGCAAAGAGCCUCUUCUCCUCUUCCAGUCUCUUCCUGGCUUCCUCCU